This 505-nucleotide ribosomal RNA is filed under the name Acacia concinna. Its description in RNAcentral is "eukaryotic LSU rRNA". The stretch from base 137 to 293 matches the Rfam family "5.8S ribosomal RNA". Lineage: Eukaryota; Viridiplantae; Streptophyta; Magnoliopsida; Fabales; Fabaceae. The record is from RNAcentral.
GCGGGGGAGGGCGACGGCGCGCCCGAGGCCUCCCCCGGCAACCAAACCCCGGCGCCCCAGGCGCCAAGGAAACGAAUCAGGGCGGGGGCGAGCCCGCGGGCCGGGCUCCCCGCGCCGUUUGUGCACCGUACGGAACGACUCUCGGCAACGGAUAUCUCGGCUCUCGCAUCGAUGAAGAACGUAGCGAAAUGCGAUACUUGGUGUGAAUUGCAGAAUCCCGUGAACCAUCGAGUCUUUGAACGCAAGUUGCGCCCGAAGCCUUUCUGGCCGAGGGCACGUCUGCCUGGGCGUCACGCAGCGUCGCCCCGCCCCCCUCCGCGGGCGCGGGGCGGAUGUUGGCCUCCCGGGGGCUCGCCCCCCGGCCGGCCGAAAAAGGGGCCCGACGUGACGGACGCCACGAUCCACGGUGGUUGAGCGGGCGCCCCGCUCGAGGCCAAGACGUGAGCGGGCCGUCCCACGGCGAGGGCCCGUCCCCCACCCGAACGCGACCCCAGGUCAGGCGGGG